GAGACACUAGUAAAACCUGCCAUUACAUUGCCUUGUCAAGGCAAACUUGUGGGUUGGAUCCCCACGUAUCUCC
This 73-nucleotide transfer RNA is filed under the name Notolepis coatsorum (Antarctic jonasfish). RNAcentral describes it as "tRNA-Asp". It matches the Rfam family "tRNA". Rfam says of the family: Transfer RNA (tRNA) molecules are approximately 80 nucleotides in length. Their secondary structure includes four short double-helical elements and three loops (D, anti-codon, and T loops). The record is from RNAcentral. Lineage: Eukaryota; Metazoa; Chordata; Actinopteri; Aulopiformes; Paralepididae.